Molecule: long non-coding RNA, 2724 nt
Filed under: Sus scrofa (pig)
Lineage: Eukaryota; Metazoa; Chordata; Mammalia; Artiodactyla; Suidae
Description: lncRNA (ENSSSCG00030018689.1)
Source: RNAcentral
UUUUUUUUUUUUUUUUUUUUUUUAAGUGGGGGAGUUCCCCUCGUGGCACAGUGGAAACGAACCCAACUAGUAUCCAUGAGGACGCGGGUUCAAUCCCUGGCCUUGCUCAGUGGGUUAAGGAUGUGCUAUUGCCGUGAGCUGUGGUGUAGGUCACAGAUGUGGCUCUGUUCUGGUAUUGCUGUGGCUGUGGUGUAGGCCAGGAUCGAACCCGCAACCUCAUGGUUCCUAGUCGGAUUCGUUUCCUCUGUGCCACAACGGGAACUCUGCCUGCGAUGCUUCUUACCAAGACCCUCCAUAAGGCUGAUGACGUUACCUUCCGGCUCAAUUUUGUGAAACCACUUCUGGGGCAGUGGGAGUGGUCUAUAGUCCAGGCACCUUGACUCAGGAGUAGAAUCGGGCAGGAGGAAGAGCAGAUAGACGGUACGCCCCCCGACGCCAGCCCCACACCAGGCACGACUGAAGUUCCUCGCCAUGAAGCAGGGCUCUGCCUGGACCAGCACGGUUCAAGGCCAACAGCACAGGCCGCGGUCCUGGGUCUGGAUCUGUCCUGGUCGGAACACCCCCUCCCAGAGAGCUUCUCUGGAGAAGCCAAGCACCCACCAAACCUCAUCAAUGCGUGUUUUUCCGAGCAGCCCGCACCAUUCCACAGCCCACCUGCACCCUGGCUACAGCCAGGCGCUGGAGAAGAGCCCCAACAAGCCACACUUCCCACACAGCCUCUUAAGAGACGCACUUUUGCAGCUGGGUGCUCUCUGGCCAAGCACGCUGAAUGGCCCUGGAUGACACUGAACGGAAAAGGGCAGCACCGACUCCUGCUUCCAGGGAGCUGAACGUCCUGCCUGCCAGACCCCAGCAUCGCACCUGCAGCAUCCCACCUGCCAGGCCCCAGCAUCCCAGCAUCCCACCAACCCUUGGCUGGUCCUUUCCACCUUCGGAAAUGCCCAGUCUUAACAGCAUGACCCCCCAGCACCCGCAAGGCUUCCCCUCCCCCAGCCUGUGAUACGAGCGCAGGUUCUGGCUUCUCCUACAUAACCUGUGUCCUGGGUGGGGUCAUGUCCCCCCCCAGAUUCACGUCCUUCCAGACUGUGACCUUAUUUGGAAACGGAGUCAUUGUGGGAAUAAUGAAUUAAGAGGAGGUCCUGGAGCAGGGCGGGCCUUGACCCAAUGUGGCCAUUGUCCUUAGAAGGAGAGGACAAGAAGCGCACGGACACGGACUCACGGGGAGAGAAGGCCACCCCGCAGAUGGAGCACAGACAGGAGCCAAGGAUGCCAGGGACUGAUGGCAACACCAGAAGCUGAGACAAAGACAUGGAACAGCUCCUGCCCAGACCCUUCAGAGGGGCCCUGGCCUCUUUGUUUCUUUUUUAAAAAAAAUCUUAUGGCUGAAUUUACAGCAUAUGGAUGUUUCCAAGCCACGGAUUGAAUCCAAGCUGCAGCUGCAGCAACGCCGGAUCCUUUAACCCAUUGCACCAGGCAGGGGAUCGAACCUGCACCUCCACAGAGACCUGAGCCAUUGCAGUUGGAUUUUUAACCCCCACUGCGCCACAGCAGGAACUCCCCUGCUGACUUCCUGAUUUGGGUUUCUGGCCGCUGGAACCGUCUGUUGUUUAAGCCACCCAGUUGGGGGACUUUGCGAUAGCUGCCCCAGGAAUUAACACAACCUAGCUCCAUUGUAACCAACGCAGGCACGACGCCACCUCUGGAGAACCAGGACACCUGCUGGAGGUCUGGCCUGCCGUCCCCUCCUCCUGGAGGUGGUGCUUGAUGGAAUGUUUGAGAAUUUCGAUCCUGGUCAAGGCAACUCAGGGCGUGCGGACAUGGGUGCUAGACUGUUUCUCCCCAGCUGGCUUCAUAUUUAUGCUUCCCCACAGCGCGCCACCUGUCCUGUCUACCGUGUCAUGUGACAUUUGGGUGCUUAGGCGGAGGUUCGGUCAUGGGGGCGGGGAUGACUUGAGGGGUGCUACGAUCAACACCCCAAAGCACUAAGAAAAUAAAACAGUUGCCCACCCUUUCCUGACAAGUCACGGAGGCUGGAAUGGAGCUCGGGGCUGGCCUUGAAGCUCAGGACGGCUCCAGCCUACAGGUCUUGCUGCAAACGCAGCCUGGCGAGGAAGGAGGCCCGCUCCAGCCCUGACACCUAAGAGCAAGUCUGUCUUCCAAAUCGCUGUCUUCCUGGAUAGGAACUUUCUGUGUCACCAGCAAGAGUCACAGGAAGAGGGAGCUUCCCUAAGACACGGCAAAGGAGAAAAGCCACUCCGCCCGCCUUCCGGUGGCCUCGCCUGCUUCCAAUCACCACUGACAGUGCUGGACUGGGAAUAGUUUUAGCCUUGGAUCACAAAUCCUCGUGAGCCUAAAGCACUCUCUCUUAAACACACAUUUCUCUAACCAAUCAACCCCAGCUACCCUGGCCUCAAACGGAAAGCCAGAAUCUGCCAGACACGGGUACACUCAAGUCCCCCAAACACCAGGCCCCAAGCCCUACCAGGCCCCGGACUCAACCUCAGCUGCACCCCGCUACUGUUUUCCAGAGGAGGCUGGAGGCCGGCGCUCCGCGUGGCUGUCCUCACACGCCAUCCUGUGAGUAUCGGGAUGCCAACCCCACCAGCCGCGCCAUACCCACCAGACCGGGUGGAUUUGUGCAGGAAGAAAGCGCCCGGUGGCAAGUGAUAUUCUGGAGAUCCGUUUGUUCUUGGGGGACAGACACAGGCGCAAAGCCCUCCCCCC